GGAGUGUCUUGCUGUGGAGGGGCCCCAGCAGGCUGCUGGUGUCCUGGCAGCCCCACUCCCAGCAGUUGGGAGUGGAGUCUUUGCGUGGACACCCUGUGGGUUGCAGUGGACGGAGUUCAGGCAUCACAGGGGUCACGCGUGCCCUGCAGGGCCGUGCAGGACAAGCGCCGGGAAGGCUGCCGUGAGGGUGUGAUUGUGCCUUGGUCCUGCAAGACAGAAAUCUACUGAGAAAACAUUUCUGAGCACUUCUAUGUGCCUAGGACUUUGCAAGGGGCUCUGUCUGUAUUUUCUCUGUGUGAUUGUUCACAGGCAUGAGACCAACUCCCAACAUGUGUUUAGGACAGCUUUGGGACCCAGCUGGCCCAGGAGGAGUGGACCUUGCAGGUCACGGGAAAGUUCUCCAAUUUGCUAAUUAUCCCCAUCAUCCUGGGAUUUAGGGAGUUUGCCUUGGGGCCCAACCUCUGUGGGAAGACGAGCCCUCCCUCCCUCCUCUCUGCUGCCCUCUUCCCACCCUCCAUACUCUGAGACAGCUCGCGCUUCUUAGCUUUUCCUGCACUCGGGAUCAGAUAUCAGCUGUGUUCCCGAGCCGAGGGAACAGUGCCCUGUGGGUGCUGCAGGGAGCUGCUGAGGGCCCUUCCCACGUGGCUUCCGCCUCCCUCCUAGACGCUAAACCUUGGCAUCUGUCAGAUGAAACUCUGGCAUGCGGUGGCCGGAGGACUGUCACAAGUGGCCGUGCUGGUGCAACCUGCCUGAGGCAAGGCGCAGAGUGGGCCCAGCGCCCAUCACCCUCACCAAGGAAAAUGCCCUGCACACAGAUGAGAAAGACGAAUGGCCAAAGCUUUUGCUGACCUGGAAAGGAGCCUCUGAGGGAGAGGCUGUGACUUCUAGGACUAGGCCAGGUGGCUCCUGGCAAGGUGUCCACGCUGUGGCUGCCUAGGUCAUCAUUAAAGGACAUCAAUGCUGACCACCUCUCCAAGCUUUGAUGAAGGAUAGAAAGGUAAUUGCUUCAGGGCAGCCUAUGGUGUGCUUGACGUCCAGCUCAUCGAAAUAGGACGAGGGUCCUCAGGUCAGCUUUAGAAGACGUCCAAAGCUGAGAGAAAACCUGCUUUCUUGCCUUAAUCCCAGGAAUCAGGAGGCUCAGGCUAGAGCACCGCCAUGAGUUCGGGGCCAGCCUGAGCUGCAUAAUGAAUUCAAGGCCAGCCUGGAAUACUGUCCAUGGUGAGACCUUGUC
Molecule: long non-coding RNA, 1231 nt
Filed under: Fukomys damarensis (Damara mole-rat)
Lineage: Eukaryota; Metazoa; Chordata; Mammalia; Rodentia; Bathyergidae
Description: lncRNA (ENSFDAG00000027633.1)
Source: RNAcentral